AGAGUUUGAUCCUGGCUCAGAUUGAACGCUGGCGGCAUGCCUUACACAUGCAAGUCGAACGGCAGCACGGGAGCAAUCCUGGUGGCGAGUGGCGAACGGGUGAGUAAUACAUCGGAACGUGUCCUGUAGUGGGGGAUAGCCCGGCGAAAGCCGGAUUAAUACCGCAUACGCUCUACGGGAGGAAAGGGGGGGAUCUUCGGACCUCUCGCUACAGGGGCGGCCGAUGGCAGAUUAGCUAGGUGGGUGGGGUAAAGGCCUACCAAGGCGACGAUCUGUAGCUGGUCUGAGAGGACGACCAGCCACACUGGGACUGAGACACGGCCCAGACUCCUACGGGAGGCAGCAGUGGGGAAUCUUGGACAAUGGGGGCAACCCUGAAUCCAGCAAUGCCGCGUGUGUGAAGAACGCCUUCGGGUUGUAAAGCACUUUUGUCCC
This 435-nucleotide ribosomal RNA is filed under the name uncultured bacterium. RNAcentral's name for it is "bacterial SSU rRNA". It matches the Rfam family "Bacterial small subunit ribosomal RNA", at positions 8 to 442 of the family's 1533-position model. The record is from RNAcentral.